Long non-coding RNA from Papaver somniferum (opium poppy), 2345 nucleotides. RefSeq lists it as uncharacterized. Lineage: Eukaryota; Viridiplantae; Streptophyta; Magnoliopsida; Ranunculales; Papaveraceae. The record is from RefSeq and is a predicted model, not a curated record. The transcript is spliced from 2 exons.
AGACAUUCAUUCUCUUAUCUUCUUCUUUCUCUUCUCGUUUCUUCUUCUUUCCUUUCUUCUGCUGGUGACAAUUGAGAGAGAGAUUUGACUAUUUUGCUGAAAGAAUCGGUCGUUAAGGAGGAACAGAUUAAGUAAAGACUGUUGCGGAUGUUGAUGAAGAUUUGAGGGUGUUAUUGAUGUGUUAUCAAACAGAUUUAGGGUUUCUGAAAUUGUUGAAUUAUGAGGAAUUGAUGGUGGGUACGGGUGAUCUAAGAACAAAAAGGGUUAUGUUAAUUUAAAAAUGUGAAUUUGUUCCGCUGAUGAAGAAUCAAAACAGUGACAAUUGCUUGCGCAUGGCGGAGUUCAGUUGGUGGUUGAACUAGUGGAGUUCAGUUGGUGGUUGAACUGGUGGAUUACUGAUAAAUGGAAGGGAUAUAGAGCCAAAAUUGAUGUUCAGGGAGAUGAAUCAAGAUGAACAAAUGGGUUCUACUGCCGAUUCAUGGCUGUAAUUGGUAGAGGUUUGAGAGUUGAGAACGAAUCAGAAGUGGCUUUUGAUUGUUACUACAAGGAGUUUGAUCUGGUGGUUGAGACAAGAUGAUGUUGUUGAUGCUGUUUGUGUUUACUCAGAGAGAUAGCAAGAAAGAGCUGCAGUUAGAUGGCUAGUUGAGGGUUUGAACUGAAGCUGCUAUGGGUUGUUCUGUUACAUACAGGUUAGUGUUUUGAUUGAAGAUGAAGAUGUGCAUGAAUUUGUUAGGGUCUGUUACAGGGAUGGACCUAUGGUAUGAACUGAUAGUAAUGAACAGCUGAAAAUGAACUGCUUUUGGUGAUUUGGAGAUGGGUUUCUGAAGAAUAAGAAAGGGGAUCUGGUUCUUGGGUCGAUUGGAUUGUGAAUCUCAUCAAGGAAUUAUGCUGGUACUAGUGGUUCUGGUGAUGCAUUUGGUAGCUGGUAUUUGUGGUGGUACUGGUAUUGCUCAUGAUGGUGAUGCUGUGUUGGCUGUCAAGGAUUUGUGUUGAUGUUUUGAAGCAGGAACUGAGAUGAUGUUGUUGAUUUGAUGUUGCUGCUAUAAGUGGUUACAAAAUUCAGGUGAAGCUGUUGGUGGUUUGGGAUUGCAGGUCAGUUGCCUUACUGUCGCAGAAGCAAUGGCCUAGAAUUCAAUUGGUGGCCGAUGUAAUGGUUGAGUCUUGUUAAAGUUACAUAAGAUGAUGCACAAAGAGCAGCUGGAGUAAAAGUAGAGGAAAUGGUGAUUGCUUAGUAUGGUAUUAGGUUGGUCAUGCAGCUGAAGUUGGCAGUGUUGCUGGUGGUUGUGUGUUGCAAGGUAGAGAAAAGAUGUAGCUGCAGUCAAAUGAGUCGUGUGCUGGGAUAAAUGACUGUGACAAUGGGACUUAAAGGCAUUGACUGUGUUGUAAUAAGUUAUUGUUGAUGAAGUUUGGUGGUACAGUGGCUGAGGAUGUUUUCUGUUGGUGGAAUGAGUUGGAGGUGUGGUUUCUGUGGAUGGGAUUGAAGCUGAAUGGUGUAGGUAGUUAAGAAGAAGUUGUUACUGCAAUGGAUGUGUGCAAUUUUAGAUGGCUCAAAUGUCGUGGUUUGAGAAUGUGCAGGAACUGAAACUGCGAAGGAAGGAUAUUAUGGAGCUGACCUGGGUAGACUCUAAUGUGCAAGUGGAUGGGUUUUCUGGUGGUUAUGCUAUACAGUGGUUUACGAAUCUGGAUACGGUUUGAUGGAAUUCACUUGAUGAUGUUGGUGAUUGAAGUUAGCUGAACUGGUGAUGUCUGAAACCGAUGGAAUGAUUAUUGCAGCUAAAAUCAUAGUAUGUGUUGAGUUGAAGCUGGUGCUGGUAUGUAAAUGGCUCAGGCCUUGGCAAUUAGAUCAGUCAGCUUGAGUCGGUCUGCUAGGUUCUGGUUACAAAAUUGUUUCCACGUCAGCGGGAUGCCACCACGUCAGCGAUGGGUUAACUAUGGUUAACCUUUGCUUGAGUUAAGAACGAGGGUAUUUUGGGGACAACUAACCCCGUUUUUUGAAAAACUGUUAUGUCGGACCAAGUAGGAUCAAUUUGUAACCAAUUUACAAAAGUACGAUCAUUUUGUAACUGAAUUACAAAAAGUAUGACCAUUUUGUAAAUGACCCAAGAUCUUACUAUACUACUUGUAAUGGCACGUCCACGGACGGAGGUCAUACGACUCAUAACAACACGUUGUAUACUUGGGGGUUGCAGUAUUCGUUUGAUUUCUUAAUUGGAUGAAACUUAUAUUAAGGGCUGCUGAAAUUCAAGGGGGGAUUGCAAGACGGUUAAUAUUUCUGGUCAUGGUCUGUCGUAUCUUCCAAUACCGAUCUGUAUCUGAUAUAUCGUAGUUGUAUCUGUUGACACUGA